RNAcentral lists this ribosomal RNA (406 nucleotides) under uncultured bacterium. RNAcentral describes it as "partial 16S ribosomal RNA". It matches the Rfam family "Bacterial small subunit ribosomal RNA", at positions 30 to 526 of the family's 1533-position model. The record is from RNAcentral.
AUUGAACGCUGGCGGCAGGCCUAACACAUGCAAGUCGAGCGAGCGGCGGACGGGUGAGUAAUGUAUGGGGAUUUGCCUGCUAGUGGGGGUUAACUACUGGAAACGGUGGCUAAUACCGCAUACUAUCGGAUGAACCCCUCUGGGUUUAGCUAGUAGGUGGGGUAAAGGCUCACCAAGGCGACGAUCAGUAGCCGGUCUGAGAGGAUGAUCAGCCACAUUGGGCAUGAGACACGGCCCAAACUCCGACGGGAGGCAGCAGUGGGGAAUCUUGCGCAAUGCGCGAAAGCCUGAGGAAGCAAGGCCGCGUGGAUGAGAAAGUUCUUAGGAUUGUAAAAUUCUUUCACCGGGGACGCGGUACCCGGAGAAGAAGCCCCGGCUAACUUCGUGCCAGCAGCCGCGGUAAUAC